Molecule: ribosomal RNA, 501 nt
Filed under: uncultured bacterium
Lineage: Bacteria
Description: bacterial SSU rRNA
Rfam family: Bacterial small subunit ribosomal RNA
Source: RNAcentral
GAUGAACGCUAGCGGCAGGCCUAAUACAUGCAAGUCGAGGGGCAGCGCGGUAGCAAUACUGGCGGCGACCGGCGCACGGGUGCGUAACACGUAUGCAACCUACCUUCAACUGGAGGAUAGCCCGGGGAAACUCGGAUUAAUACUCCAUAACACAGGGAUCCCGCAUGGGAAUAUUGUUAAAGCUACGGCGGUUGAAGAUGGGCAUGCGUUCGAUUAGCUAGUUGGUGUAGGUAACGGCUCACCAAGGCUACGAUCGAUAGGGGGUCUGAGAGGAUGAUCCCCCACACUGGUACUGAGAUACGGACCAGACUCCUACGGGAGGCAGCAGUAGGGAAUAUUGGUCAAUGGGCGCAAGCCUGAACCAGCCAAUGCCGCGUGCAGGAAGAAGGCCCUCUGGGUUGUAAAACUGCUUUUGUACGGGAAGAAAAAGCACUACGUGUAGUGUACUGACGGUACGUAAGAAUAAGGAUCGGCUAACUCCGUGCCAGCAGCCGCGGUAAU